GACAGAGGUCCCGAGCGUUAGACGGAAUCACUGGGCUUAAAGCGUGUGUAGGCGGAAGGGUAAGUACCUUGUGAAAUCCCACAGCUCAACUGUGGAACUGCUUGGUAUACUGCUUUUCUUGAGCCACUUAGGGGCAACCGGAACAAAUGGUGGAGCGGCGAAAUGCGUAGAUAUCAUUUGGAACGCCAAUGGUGAAAACAGGUUGCUGGGAGUGUGCUGACGCUGAGACACGAAAGCCAGGGGAGCAAACGGG
RNAcentral lists this ribosomal RNA (253 nucleotides) under uncultured bacterium. RNAcentral's name for it is "partial 16S ribosomal RNA". It matches the Rfam family "Bacterial small subunit ribosomal RNA", at positions 524 to 776 of the family's 1533-position model. The record is from RNAcentral.